AGCAGUAGCCGCGGGAAUACGUAGGUCCCGAGCGUUGUCCGGAUUUAUUGGGUGUAAAGCGAGCGCAGGCGGUUAGAUAAGUCUGAAGUUAAAGGCUGUGGCUUAACCAUAGUACGCUUUGGAAACUGUUUAACUUGAGUGCAAGAGGGGAGAGUGGAAUUCCAUGUGUAGCGGUGAAAUGCGUAGAUAUAUGGAGGAACACCGGUGGCGAAAGCGGCUCUCUGGCUUGUAACUGACGCUGAGGCUCGAAAGCGUGGGGAGCAAACAGGAUUAGAUACCCCGGUAGUCCCUGUCUCUUAUACA
This 303-nucleotide ribosomal RNA is filed under the name uncultured bacterium. Its description in RNAcentral is "partial 16S ribosomal RNA". It matches the Rfam family "Bacterial small subunit ribosomal RNA", at positions 507 to 808 of the family's 1533-position model. The record is from RNAcentral.